RNAcentral lists this ribosomal RNA (305 nucleotides) under uncultured bacterium. RNAcentral describes it as "bacterial SSU rRNA". It matches the Rfam family "Bacterial small subunit ribosomal RNA", at positions 334 to 636 of the family's 1533-position model. The record is from RNAcentral.
GGGUCCUACGGGGGGCAGCAGUGAGGAAUAUUGGUCAAUGGUCGGGAGACUGAACCAGCCAAGCCGCGUGAGGGAUGAAGGUACAGAGUAUCGUAAACCUCUUUUGUCAGGGAACAAAGGCGGGGACGUGUCCCCGGAUGAGUGUACCUGAAGAAAAAGCAUCGGCUAACUCCGUGCCAGCAGCCGCGGUAAUACGGAGGAUGCGAGCGUUAUCCGGAUUUAUUGGGUUUAAAGGGUGCGCAGGCGGUCUGUUAAGUCAGCGGUCAAAACCCGGGGCUCAACCCUGGGAGUGCUUUUGAAACUGU